CCUACGGGUGGCAGCAGUGGGGAAUAUUGCACAAUGGGGGAAACCCUGAUGCAGCGACGCCGCGUGAGUGAAGAAGUAUUUCGGUAUGUAAAGCUCUAUCAGCAGGGAAGAAAAUGACGGUACCUGCUUAAGAAGCCCCGGCUAACUCCGUGCCAGCAGCCGCGGUAAUACGUAGGGGGCAAGCGUUAUCCGGAGUUAAUGGGUGUAAAGGGAGCGUAGACGGCAGCAUAAGUCUGGAGUGAAAUGCCGGGGCUGAACCCCGGAACUGCUUUGGAAACUGUGCAGCUAGAGUGAGGGAGAGGUAAGUGGAAUGCCUGGUGUAGCGGUGAAAUGCGUAGAUAUUAGGAGGAACACCAGUUGCGAAGGCGGCUUACUGGACUGUAACUGACGUUGAGGCUCGAAAGCGUGGGGAUCAAACAGGAUUAGAUACCCGAGUAGUC
This 440-nucleotide ribosomal RNA is filed under the name uncultured bacterium. RNAcentral's name for it is "partial 16S ribosomal RNA". It matches the Rfam family "Bacterial small subunit ribosomal RNA", at positions 338 to 795 of the family's 1533-position model. The record is from RNAcentral.